AUGUGUGAAAGGCAUCAAGCUUCCAUGCGAUGGAUGGCUUUUGCAAACCCGACAUGCGGUGAUGUGGUUCAUGCCAAUAGAAAAUAUGAUUGGCCGGUGUUGCCGGCUGGCGUCAAGUUCGAUCCCACGGAUAAGGAGCUGAUCGAGCACCUUGAGGCCAAAGUGUGUGCUGACAGCGCGAGAUCUCACCCUCUCAUCAAUUUGUUCAUACCAACCAACGACAGCGAGCACGGAAUAUGCUACACCCAUCCUGAGAAACUUCCAGGUAUCACACUGAGUGGCCUAAGCGAGCAUUUCUUCCAGCGCAACUCCAGGGCGUUCAAAAGGGGCACGUGGACGCGUCGCAAGAUACAGUCGGAGUGCGGAAUGCACGCGAUGUGGCACAAGACCGGCAAUACCUUGCCGAUGAUGGUCAACGGCCGACAGACGGGCAGCAAAAAGGUUCUGGUGCUGCACACCAACAAGAACUUCGACCCCCAGAGGACCAACUGGGUGAUGCACCAGUACCACAUCGGGGACCUGGAGCAAGAGAAGGAGCAGGAGCUAGUCCUCUGCAAGAUUUUCUACCAGACGAACACUAGGGCCAGGACUAAAAAGAUUACAAGUUACCUAACCGUACGGAACCAGCAGGUCCAUGGCUGUACGCAAGCAAGUGCAUGCACUUAUUAUCAUGAUGGAAAAAUAAUGCUGACAUCUGAGACGGUGAAACCCAUGAAGUCUUCAACGUACUCAAUAAACGAGAGAAUUCUGCAAGUACAGACUGAUAGCUGGGAUCCAGCAGGUAUAUUGUUUUUUCAGCCUUCCUCGGCUCCGGAUCAUUCCCUUACUUGGCCUGGCCGUCGUCCACCGCCUUGGUCCUCUCAGCACAGCGUGGUCAACGAACAACAUCCAUCGGAAGAGGACUGUACAUGGAGAGGCUGA
RNAcentral lists this ribosomal RNA (921 nucleotides) under Triticum aestivum (bread wheat). RNAcentral's name for it is "partial small subunit ribosomal RNA". Lineage: Eukaryota; Viridiplantae; Streptophyta; Magnoliopsida; Poales; Poaceae. The record is from RNAcentral.